AUUGAACGCUGGCGGCAUGCCUUACACAUGCAAGUCGAACGGUAACGGGCCUUCGGGUGCCGACGAGUGGCGAACGGGUGAGUAAUGCAUCGGAACGUACCUUUCAGUGGGGGAUAACGUAGCGAAAGUUACGCUAAUACCGCAUAUUCUGUGAGCAGGAAAGCAGGGGAUCGCAAGACCUUGCGCUGAUUGAGCGGCCGAUGUCAGAUUAGCUAGUUGGUGAGGUAAAGGCUCACCAAGGCGACGAUCUGUAGCGGGUCUGAGAGGAUGAUCCGCCACACUGGAACUGAGACACGGUCCAGACUCCUACGGGAGGCAGCAGUGGGGAAUUUUGGACAAUGGGGGCAACCCUGAUCCAGCCAUGCCGCGUGAGUGAAGAAGGCCUCGGGUUGUAAGACUCUUCGUCCGGGAGAAAUACGCAUGGCUAAGUACCCUGUGCGGAGUGACGGUACCGGCGAUAAGAAGCAACCGGCUAACUAACGUGCCAGC
This 489-nucleotide ribosomal RNA is filed under the name uncultured bacterium. RNAcentral's name for it is "bacterial SSU rRNA". It matches the Rfam family "Bacterial small subunit ribosomal RNA", at positions 30 to 512 of the family's 1533-position model. The record is from RNAcentral.